UACGUAGGGUGCGAGCGUUAAUCGGAUUUACUGGGCGUAAAGCGUGCGCAGGCGGCCCGUUAAGACAGGUGUGAAAUCCCUGGGCUCAACCUAGGAAUUGCGCUUGUGACUGGCGGGCUCGAGUACGGUAGAGGGGGGUGGAAUUCCUGGUGUAGCAGUGAAAUGCGUAGAGAUCAGGAGGAACACCGAUGGCGAAGGCAGCCCCCUGGGUCUGUACUGACGCUCAUGCACGAAAGCGUGGGGAGCAAACAGG
This 253-nucleotide ribosomal RNA is filed under the name uncultured microorganism. RNAcentral describes it as "partial 16S ribosomal RNA". It matches the Rfam family "Bacterial small subunit ribosomal RNA", at positions 524 to 776 of the family's 1533-position model. The record is from RNAcentral.